Long non-coding RNA from Dipodomys spectabilis (banner-tailed kangaroo rat), 400 nucleotides. RefSeq lists it as uncharacterized. The transcript has 3 exons. NCBI's taxonomy places the organism in Eukaryota, Metazoa, Chordata, Mammalia, Rodentia, Heteromyidae. The record is from RefSeq and is a predicted model, not a curated record.
AUAGAAAGAGUGCCCUCUUCGGGGGUCUUUCAUGUGGGGGCUCGUCCGGGAUAGAGACCCCCCACCCAGGGACCACCGACCCAUUUUCGGGAGGUAAGCUGGCCAGCAUCUGUGUGUCGUCUGUGUGCGGUCUGUAAGUUGUCUGAAGUCUUGUGUGGCCAAUUUCUGUGCGCUUGCGAAUCUGGUGAGUUCGGCCGUUCUCGUCUGUAUCAGGCGGACCCGUGGAGGAGCUGACGAGCUCGUACUCCCGACCGCGGUCCCCAGGAGACGUCUUGGGGGCUUCUGGGAGCCUGAAAAAGUGGCUCAUCGGAGGGCCUGAAAAAGUGGCCCAUCUGGAACCCGGUCCUUUUGGACGCGUGGUUCAUCAGGGGAGACGAGAGAUCCGGACUCUCAAUAAAGU